GGCCCGUUCGUCUAGCGGUUAGGACGCGGCCCUUUCACGGCUGAAACACGGGUUCGAUUCCCGUACGGGGUCACCA
RNAcentral lists this transfer RNA (76 nucleotides) under marine sediment metagenome. Its description in RNAcentral is "tRNA-Glu". It matches the Rfam family "tRNA". From Rfam's summary of the family: Transfer RNA (tRNA) molecules are approximately 80 nucleotides in length. Their secondary structure includes four short double-helical elements and three loops (D, anti-codon, and T loops). The record is from RNAcentral.